Molecule: long non-coding RNA, 258 nt
Organism: Tachysurus fulvidraco (yellow catfish)
Lineage: Eukaryota; Metazoa; Chordata; Actinopteri; Siluriformes; Bagridae
Exons: 2
Source: RefSeq, a predicted model, not a curated record
UUUUCCUUCUCCAGCCGCUGAGCCUUGCUUCCUGCUGUGCUUUCCUCCUGGAGGGUGAAUGCUCCAGCGGCGCUCCUGAUUGGUCCGUGUUUUCCUGCCGCUCCGCCCCGCUCUCACUUGCCGCGGUGCUGGCCAUGGUGCUGAACCGCCGCCUGUUCCUCUCUCUCGCUUCCGGGUUGCCGCUGCAGUGGGCGAAGAGCGGUUUUUCCUAGGUGUGUUUGCGGUGGUGCCCGUGCCGCCGUCACAAUAUAUAUAUAU